Molecule: ribosomal RNA, 500 nt
Filed under: uncultured bacterium
Lineage: Bacteria
Description: partial 16S ribosomal RNA
Rfam family: Bacterial small subunit ribosomal RNA
Source: RNAcentral
GUUGAACGCUGGCGGCAUGCCUCACACAUGCAAGUCGAACGGCAGCACGGGAGCAAUCCUGGUGGCGAGUGGCGAACGGGUGAGUAAAGUAUCGGAACGUGCCCAGUCGUGGGGGAUAACGUAGCGAAAGUUACGCUAAUACCGCAUACGAUCUAUGGAUGAAAGCGGGGGAUCGCAAGACCUCGCGCGAUUGGAGCGGCCGAUAUCAGAUUAGGUAGUUGGUGGGGUAAAGGCUCACCAAGCCGACGAUCUGUAGCUGGUCUGAGAGGACGACCAGCCACACUGGGACUGAGACACGGCCCAGACUCCUACGGGAGGCAGCAGUGGGGAAUUUUGGACAAUGGGCGAAAGCCUGAUCCAGCCAUGCCGCGUGCAGGAUGAAGGCCUUCGGGUUGUAAACUGCUUUUGUACGGAACGAAAAGGUUUGGCCUAAUAAGCUGAGCUCAUGACGGUACCGUAAGAAUAAGCACCGGCUAACUACGUGCCAGCAGCCGCGGUAA